This 496-nucleotide ribosomal RNA is filed under the name uncultured bacterium. Its description in RNAcentral is "partial 16S ribosomal RNA". It matches the Rfam family "Bacterial small subunit ribosomal RNA", at positions 29 to 507 of the family's 1533-position model. The record is from RNAcentral.
AUGAACGCUGGCGGCGUGCCUAAUACAUGCAAGUCGAGCGCACAGACGAGGAGCUUGCUCCUCUUACGUUAGCGGCGGACUGGUGAGUAACACGUGGCUAACCUACCUAUAAGACUGGGAUAACUUCGGUAAACCGGAGCUAAUACCGGAUACUAUAUUGAACCGCAUGGUUCCAUAGUGAAAGCCGGUUUUGCUGUCACUUAUAGAUGGAUCCGCGCCGCAUUAGCUAGUUGGUAAGGUAACGGCCUACCAAGGCAACGAUGCGUAGCCGACCUGAGAGGGUGAUCGGCCACACGGGAACUGAGACACGGUCCAGACUCCUACGGGAGGCAGCAGUAGGGAAUCUUCAGCAAUGGGCGAAAGCGUGACGGAGCAACGCCGCGUGAGUGAUGAAGGUCUUCGGAUCGUAAAACUCUGUUAUUAGGGAAGAACAAAUGUGUAAGUAACUAUGCACGUCUUGACGGUACCUAAUCAGAAAGCCACGGCUAACUACGUG